UGUUCAAAACUGAGCAUUUUGGGGUUUAUGUACACUUUUCAAUUUCAGGGUAAAAAGGCAGCCAUCCAAAAUAACAACAGAUUUCAGAAUGCCUCGUUUUUGCUCGGUGACAUUUCACAAGUUUACUUCUAGCUCUGAUUGGUGUGUGGCUACAGAAGACAGGGGCAGAGAAUACAGCCUGGUCUUGUACCUCCCAUAGUUAUGAAUUGGAAGAUGGCAUUUCUGCUGUACAACUACAGGAUAUAAGCUUUACCUUUUGGAGGCAGGUGGUAGAUGUGUGUAUCACUGAAACGUGACUGUCUGCCUUUUAUGCAACCUCUGAGAAGAGCAUCACUGAAAAGGUGACAUUUAACUGGAGAUAUGCGCAGAAGACAAGCUGUCUCCCGUGACCUUUCCAGUUAAACAGUUUCCUAUCCGCUCAGUGCACAUUAAAACCCAAGGAUUUCAGAUGUGCCCCUGCUAUUGUCAUCUCAUCUAUGAAGACAGCAAGGUUCUUGGGAAGAUACCAAGUGGAAGAUUUUCAUCUCAUAGAGGUAGCAUAGUGGGCUAUCUAUUGGCUAAGGAAAAUGUGAUGCCUGGCACAUAAAUGUAAUGACAAUAAAAUGUCACUGUCCUCACAACUGUAAUUGCAACAUUUCCUUCUUUGUGUUUGGGAAGAUUUUAGUCCUAAUAUAUCUAAUACUUAAUGUAUAACAUCUUACAAACUGAUUAAGAGCUUACCAGCUGCUAAGUGGUAAAAGUUAAAUGCAAGCAGGUAGCAUGGAGCAGAGUGCAGCUAAGUGAUGGUGCCAAGCUAAAGUAUUGAUGCACAUGUAGCUUGGGUGGUUGUUCUUACUCUUCUCUGUGUGAUGUGAAACUCUAAAGAAAGAGUUUUAUCUGUAGAAUCUAAGUGAUUUUUUUGUCCCCUAAAUGUCUUUUUUUUUCUGUAAAUCUCUUCUGUAUCAUCUGACACGUGUAGGAAUCUGCAUUUGAGAGCGCGUAUCUGCCACACAUGAGAGGAUGACUCAGAAGGCUUAUUCGUAUGAAGGAACGCUGGGCACGUGAACUUGCUGGUGGUUCUCACCUCUUAGAAUCAGUUUUUUACAUGACUAAACUUCUCCUCCUCAAGGAGCCGCAGGACAUGUUUCAGCCAGAGCAGCACUUGAUGCCAAGGCAGAGCCUUGAAUCUGCUGUACACCGUGGAGCUUCUCUGGAGGAAAGCUUGUGAUGGCUCAGAGAUUAGUCAUGCAAAGCCUCUGUGAACAAUCCUCAAACACCACGUGCUUUGUAAUGUCUUUCUGCAGAAACAGCUGUCGUGUGUUGAAAUGAAACGUGAGAUGCAGCUUCAGCCCACUGUGGAGAAAAGCAUCUCUCUGCAGCAUCAGAGGGCUUCCAGACUGAAGGCGGUUUGUUGAUAAACGUGCCUCCACCAAAAGCAACUUAAAGCACAGCUCCAUUGCAGACCGGCCUCUGGAAGGGACUAGCCUUAGUGUCUCUGCAUUAGCAUCAUAAACAGUACUGCUAAUUCUUUUAUUUCUUUCUUAUGCCCCCAUUUUACCUGUGAAUUAAGGAAAAGAUCAUACUCCACGGGGCAAUUUCUCUAACUGAAGCUUUCCUGGCGUGCUUCAUGCACAACACGAUCUCUUUUUCUCCUGGCCCCUCAGCAGGUUAUUGAGUGUUUUUCAGCAUCUGCCUUGACAUCCCAGGGGGAUUGGAAUACAGCUCUGCUAAGUAAAUCAUCCUUUAAUGCAGAGGCAAUUGAGCCUGGUUCUGAAUACAGCAGGAAUAUGCAAACUAGAUGAAAGUCAUUUUGCUUACUGCUGUUUUCAGAGCCCCAAAUACCUUGGAUACAAUCUGGGAUCUCAACAGCGACUGGCUGUAAAGCAGUUUUGUUUUGUUUUUUUCUGAAUAACUGCAUUUGGAGUUGACAGAAGCCUUGUGUCCUUUUUCACUUUGAGGAUCAGUCUCAUCAAUUCAAUGCUUUUGAAGGAUGGAUGCAUUAUCUUCAGCUACUUAAAGCAGAAAUCCAAACAAACCAACUACCAAGUUUAGUCCGUUAUGCUGUUUCUGGUUUGGAAUGGGAGGGUUUUCCAGGAGAGUUAUAGGUGAGUUUGCUCUCUUUUUCCUUGAGAAAGCUGCAUCCUCUGUUUUCUUUUCACACACUGGUCAUGCCAAAUAGGAUAAAAAAAUACCUUGAAUUUUUCCCCAAUGGAAUGGGUGUAAAUUGAAUGCUUAGAUUUGUAUAAAGCAAAGAAAGAUAGCCCUGCUCUCUUGCUAAAGAAUCAUGAGUUGGCAUAAAACCUAGAUGUGUCUCUUUGUAGGUUAAGAGUUACAGUAUGUCCAUGCAAACUCUUACCUCAGGUUGCUAGGACCAUGAAUCACGUGGAAUAUAUGAUUCUGGUAUUUUCCUUGCACAAAAAACUGACCUUUUAGAAAUACCAUCCUGUCCUCCUUGCUCUUGCACAUCACAUUAGAAUGUAAAUAUAUAAUUAAUUUUAGAACAUUUUCUCCUGUGACUUUUUUGACCUUUCAGUUUAAUGUAGUUUCUGUUGGUAAGAUGAUUACUCAAUGAAUGCAUUUAAUUGUUUUUGUUGCAUAUAUUUGCAUAAUUGCAAUUGCAUGGCCACAGAUAAACCCAAGUAGUAAGGCACCCAUUCAGAAGUUUGCAUCGAGUCGUGAUCUACACCUUUAUAUGCUCAAUUAAGAGAAAAUAUUAUGUCAACAGACAACAUAAUUCCUUUAAACAGUAUUUUUAGCUUGAGUGGUAUCGCGCUUUUAUAUCCAUGUAAUUUACUGUCCCCCUCUCUCUAGUCCCGUAGCUCGUGUUCUUCACACAUGGCACAAAUGUAUUUUCAGGCUUAAACUUUCACCCUUUUUUGCUGUAGGAAAAGCGGUUAUAUAUAUCUGUCCUCUUGGUGUUUCGGGGACUCGCAACAGUGAUUAAAUUGCCUCUUGAGGUUCUUAUGCUAACAGUUUCUAGCCUCUGUGAAGGAAUAUUAUUAGCAUGAGUUCUACUUAAUGAUUCAAAAUGUUUAACUUAAUUGUAGACAAGAAAAAAUGUUACUUGGUAAGUUGUGGGGUUUUGUUCUACUGCACUGAUGAAUGCACACAGAUGUGAAAGCCAGUUGGCCUGCUCCUGGACCUGAGGAGUUUGAUGACUGAGAACAAGGUCCUGGUGUUACCCCAUGUACAUGAAAAGGGGUUUGCAGUGCCUUGAUGUGAGAGCAUGGGGUUGAUGAACCACCCUUCUAUAGCAUGGAGACCAGACAUGGGGAAGAAAACAUUGGCAGAUCGUAGAAUCACAGAAUGGUUAGGUUUGGAAAGGACCUUAGGAUCAAGUUCCAACCCCUCUGCCAUGGGCAGAUGUUGGCCUUGUGGCAUUUGAGCUUCUCCUCAGGUUGGAUAAUGGGCUUUGGGCAGCUGAAUGGUGCUCCAGGCUGCUGGAGCAGUACUGGAUAAUGCCUGUGGGAAGUCAAACCUACCCAUGGGACUUCAUGCUGAUUUUUUUCUUCCAGGACAUGGAUAAGUCUGCUCAGCUGAGCCACAGCAGUGGUAAGCAAGGAACAGGUAGGUGGAUACCCACCACCUCACAGACCUCAGCACGCAGCAGUAAUGAGCCCACGCUAUAAUUUUGGCGCUAUUUCUUUGAACUUGCUACUCAGUUUUAACAACUGAAUGGGUCUCAAAAAUGGAACAGAAGUGAGAGUGAGGGGCCCUGAACGUCCCACAGAGCUUCUGCAGUGGGUAUUCACCCUUGGCUCUGGGCCCCACACAUGCAGCUUGAGGGCAGGGCAGAGGGGCAGGCACUGUACCCACCGUGCAAGCAGGGACUCAAGCCCCUGUGGGGCCUGCAAUGGGAACAUGUGCUGUCCAUCACCAGGCAGGAAUGCUCACAGCUGCAGGAGGCUGUCGCAUCGCCAGGCAGCCUCCCUAUGCCCCUCUAUUAGCCUUCCCCCUCACAAUAAUAAUGCACUCAGAAGUCGUUUAGCUGUAGGGUUGCCAUAUAAAUUUCCUUAGUUUAAAAAUGGCACUUUUGUAACCUGCAGGGGCUAUAUCCCCAGCUGGGGUUAAACAGGGUGUGUGUUGUGUUGCCUGCCUUUUGACAUGUGGGAAUAAGCUAGUAGCUUGUUAACAGUACCUAUCAAGUGGGAGAAGAAAAGUGGCUUUAAACCCAACUCUGGCGAGGAGAAAAACUAAAUGGAAAAUAUGCGUUUUUAAUAUGCCACUGGGUAAAUUUAUAAGAGCAGAACAACAUUCGUUGUAACCUGAUAUCCCUCAGGAAUGAGGGAAAAGCUGACUGCUUGCUCCACUGAGCCAAAAAAUAAGCAAACAUGUAAGUGCAAGUGUGCAGUCAGCAGCAUAAGGAAUAAUGCUUCAGAAAGCCGGGAGCAAAGCCAGAGUGUUGCGUGUUAGAAGGCUAACAGUUUCACACAGAAACACAAACUAUUACUUGUAACCUAUUUGUAUGAUAGCCUUCAACAUCCUAAAGAAAGUCCCAAUCCUUCUGCAUUUACCCAGCCCCCAGGUGGCUGUUUUGGCAGAAGCUGAGGAAAUACUGCAUGUUAGCCAUCUUAUGACUUCUCGAUGGAAACUGAACAGAUUUUGGAUGUAAACAUGUAAUUCAUUAAAAUAACCAGAAUGUAUUUCCUAGGAUGGGUAGGCUGGUUCAGAGGUCUGCCUGUUCAAUGUUUUAUCAAGCUCUUUGCAGCAACACUGCAGUUGAGUGUCACCCAGCAUACACAAUAGGUUUGGGAAAGCAACCCUGCAUGGCCUUCAGUCACCCAGCAUGGUAUAUUUUUGGCAUGGCACGCAGAGAAUUAGGCACCCAGCUCCUGUGGCUGGUGGGAUCCCCAUGGCUCCUCAUCCAGGCUGUCCUGGAGCUGUACCGCUUCCCGCUCAGCUGCAAGGGCUGUGCUGCUGGGAAUAGCUGGUGAGAGAAGGGCCACAGCCCCUGGCAUGUCAGCCCAGCAGAUGAAUGCAUGCACAUCCCUAGGAAAAGGGCAGAAGUGCUGUGAGGUGAAGCCCUGCGCAUCAGAAAUGUACUCCCCAUAGGAAUUCAAAGUACUUGCAAUUAUUUGGAAGGAGGCUGUACAAGUGCCAGUGUUGUUUGCAGAAGACAAUGAGAGCGAUUACAGUUGCAGGAAAUUGCAGAUGUUCUGCAAAAAGAAAUAAACAAAACUAAAAUUGCUUUCUGAGAAAUAAAAAAAUCUUCAGAAUGUCCAAAUCAUCUGUUUUUUCUGCAAUGCUUUUCUACAUAGCAUCUGCAAAUGGAUUAGAAAGUCAUCAGUAUCCAGGCUGAUCCCCGGCUACAGGAAUAAGAGAAAAACAUUGCUCUUUCUGCUUUUCCCAGGGCAUCCCUGCUCCCCGCUCUGCUCUGGGAUCCAACACACGGGAAGGGUUUCUGCAGAGACCGCUCCAGAAAUCAAACCAUGUCAGGUGAGGGGAGCAGUGUGGCUCCUGGGCACCCAUGCCUGCCAUCCUUGGAAGAAGCAUUCAUAUUCACACGUGACAUUUGACGUCACUGGUCAACUGGGGCCCUGAAGGGGACUUCAGUGCCCUGUAUCUGUCAUGAGGUAGUCAACUCUCACCUAGGAUUUCCCUGCUCUAAGUAAUAUAGGCAUCCAGAACGGACUGUUGUUGAUGCUAUGGGUUGAGCUUGAGUUCCGUCAUCCUUCCCGUUUCCAUGUCAGACAAAUUGUAGUGAUCCAUCUUAGCCUGCUGCCCACCCCACUGCUCCCCACAUAGCCCAGGUGCAAGCCAGUGCCUUUCCUUGUCCCCUGUUAAAACCAGCCCUGACAGGAGUAAAGCCAAAUGCCAAUGUUUUGGGAUAGUCAGGAAAACUUUGUAGUAUCAAGUCCUAGUCCUCAGCGACACAUUUAUGUUUUCCCUUGUAGUACUCUGGCUGUCCUUUUCCCUACAAGAUUAGGCCCUCACUAAAUUUACUCACAGCAAGGUGCUCGGGAAGGGAGCUCAGUAAGAAAACUGAUGGCAGCAGCUGUGCUACUCAUCUGGAAACAGGUGAGGCGAGAAGACACUCAUGCCCAGGGGUGAUGUCCCCUCAUCAUAGUUCUCAUGUGGCAGACAGUGACCCCCACCCUGGCUGGACAGCCUGACCUGCACAUGCAUCAUGAUGCACUGGAACCGAGCACGGCAGCGGCAAGCCCCACCAGGUUCUUUGGGAAUAUAAAAGAAAGAGGGGACCUUAAAGCUGUGGCAGGAAAAAUCCCUGGUACUUCACAAAGUGCAUGUGACGUGGUUUUUCCAGGUUACCUAAACCCCCCCUCGGCUUCAGAUGGAAGUGAAACUCUUACUCAUGGUCAAAACUGGAAGGUGGGGGGAAUAACUUCACACAGCAGCAUCUUUUCCUCAAUCUGCUUAUUCAAUCAAAUAACUGCAACUCGCAGGUUUCCAAUUGCUCCCCUAACUGCCCUCUGGCCUGUACCAUAAAGAAAUAAACACAUGCAACCUCUUUUUCUUGCAGCAGAACAUCUGUGACCCAUUAACAUCUGAUGCCGGGAUGCAAAGCCAGCUUUGGAGCCAGGCCUGAAGCACAGCUCGGGCAAAGCAGUUGUUCACUUCUCUGUGAGUUUGGCAUUGCUGCUCUCUAAUAUUUUAUCAGCAUGUUUAUUUUUGUUAUAGUAGCACUCCAGGACUUCAGCAAAGAGCUACAGCAACAUUUUACUGUGUUUAAGUAAUCUUUAAACAGUAGCAGUUCCAAUUUGGGUGUA
Molecule: long non-coding RNA, 6707 nt
Organism: Neopsephotus bourkii (Bourke's parrot)
Lineage: Eukaryota; Metazoa; Chordata; Aves; Psittaciformes; Psittacidae
Exons: 2
Source: RefSeq, a predicted model, not a curated record